RNAcentral lists this ribosomal RNA (1977 nucleotides) under Triticum aestivum (bread wheat). Its description in RNAcentral is "partial small subunit ribosomal RNA". Lineage: Eukaryota; Viridiplantae; Streptophyta; Magnoliopsida; Poales; Poaceae. The record is from RNAcentral.
AUGGGUACCCGGGGCAGGCGGUUGACCCUUGCGCCACCGCUGGCCUCUGCCGGGCCGGCGACGUCUCCGGCGUCGGGAAGCUCGUCUGGCUCAAGAUUCUCAUGCCUGAGAUCGGACGUUGGCUCCUCCGACGAGGAGGAUGCGCCGGCUGUUGGCGUGCAGCUGGCCCUUGAGGUGCUUGGGGAGGAUGUUGGUGGCGGGGAGUGGAACACGGUGUCUCGCCGGAAGAAGAAAACUGAGGCGGAGCUGGUCCAGGAGUUCUGGGACGAUGCGGGAUUCCCGACGCCAGCAUCUCGUUUCUGGGAACACCGGUCGCCGUCGUCGCUAGGGUCGGGUGUGCCAUCUUGCAGGGAGCAGGAGAGGAUCGCCGAUGCGGAGGGCUCGGAGCUGGUUGGUUCGGCGUCGCUGUCGAGAUCGGCGGCCCCGGUGCUCUCCGGCCCGAAACCUGUGUCCCCACCGUCCGGGCUGAGAGUCGCCCGGCCGCUACGUUUGGGGCCUUGGCGUGGACCCCUGCCGCCGCGCCGGGUGACGCCCCCGCCGGUGCUGGGACAGUUCAUUGACGCGGCCAGGCAGAACCCCUCCGCGGCAAGCCGGCAAUGCCCGCCGGCGUCGGAUGCUUCGCCGAGAUCUGACGUCGUUCGGGCGCCGGGUCCGGUGGCGAGAUCGCAGGGAAUUCAAACUCAACUGUCCUUGGGCUUUGGGCCCAUGCAUGCACAAAAGGACGCGGGCCAAGAUGUAUUUUCUUGGGCCUUUUUGAGGACGCGCAUGAAAGCAAUCUGGCCAGGUUUUGGUAACCAUCAGGCCGCGAUCGCAGCAGUUCCUUUCAUCGCGUCGUCCUCGUCCUCGUAUCCUGACGCAGAUCCUUCGAUCGCCGCCAAGCCUCUGCACACCUCACGGACGCCGUCUCCAACUCCGGCAUCACCUCCCUGCGCCGGGGUCGCCCGCUCCUACGCGGCGGUCGCCGCGACUUUUCAGCGCCCCAUGGCGGGCGUUCCUCCGACAGCACCUGGUGCCGCUGCCACGGGAGGGCCAAACCCUCGCCCACCACCUGCCAUUGGGCCGACUCCCGCUCCUUCACGUCCUCCGGCGCAGGCGUCGGGCUACUCCGGUCCACCACAUCAGCAGCAUGGACUGGCACCGGUCUACAACUAUGCUCCAUCAAUGCAGCAGCCCCCUGUUUACGUCCAAGGAGGGCAGUAUGUCUCGCCGUAUGGUACGGUCGUUGCAGGAGGGCAACAUCCCAUGUACGGGGUUCCGUCGACCGGGGUGUCCGCCCCUCCGCAGUUCCAUCCAGGCGGGGCGAUGCCUCAGCCGGUUCAAAAACGCAAAAAGAAGAAUAAGCCGCAGCAGCAGCAGUUUGCGGGUGGAGCUUUGCAACCCGGUAUUCAACACACUCCGAAACACAUGCCGGUUCAGCAACAAUUUCAACAGCAGCACAUGCAGUCAUAUCAGCAUGGGCAAUACCAGCAUCCUCAGAUGUCAAACGGUCCUGCUAUUGUUGAUACCCCACCAUUGGCGGCUCCAGUGUCUGAUGUGCAGGUCGAUACGGCGCCCAAGUCCAAGGCUAAGAAAGGGGUUCGUUGCUGGAAAUGUGCGGUUAAUACGCACGCAGUGAAGGAUUGCACUGUGCAACAUUACUGUUAUAUUUGUGACAAAAUCGCUCAUCCAACGUUGCAGUGUCCUAUUCUCAAACUCCCUAGGCCCAGUGCUUUUGUUUCGGGAGUUGGUGCUGAGGAGACGUACUUUGUCCAGUUGCCUGAUUGCGUGGUGAAAGAUCAUUUAGCACCGACACAGUCUCCGAUAGCCCGAGUUCAGGUUACUGGUUUGAUGGUACCGGCUAGUGUUGUCGAGAGCCAGAUUGCUAGGAGAUGUCCGGUACAUGAUCAAUGGAAGUGGGAGGCUAUUCAACACCGGUCUGAUGGUUACCUUGUUAGCUUUCCGUCUUUCGAGGACUUGGACAGGGUGGAUGGUAUUUAG